This 64-nucleotide transfer RNA is filed under the name Lophops carinata. RNAcentral describes it as "tRNA-Thr". The record is from RNAcentral. Lineage: Eukaryota; Metazoa; Arthropoda; Insecta; Hemiptera; Lophopidae.
GUUUUUAUAGUUUAAAAAAAAACAUUGAUUUUGUAAAUCAAUAUUAGAAAUUUUCUUAAAAACU